GAGGGUGGCCAGGACCUGUCUGGUCAUCUUU
RNAcentral lists this small RNA (31 nucleotides) under Fusarium venenatum. Lineage: Eukaryota; Fungi; Ascomycota; Sordariomycetes; Hypocreales; Nectriaceae. The record is from RNAcentral.